RNAcentral lists this RNase P RNA (321 nucleotides) under Lacibacter cauensis. RNAcentral describes it as "Bacterial RNase P class A". It matches the Rfam family "Bacterial RNase P class A". Rfam says of the family: Ribonuclease P (RNase P) is a ubiquitous endoribonuclease, found in archaea, bacteria and eukarya as well as chloroplasts and mitochondria. Lineage: Bacteria; Pseudomonadati; Bacteroidota; Chitinophagia; Chitinophagales; Chitinophagaceae. The record is from RNAcentral.
AGCUAUCGUUCACGCCUUGGCGUGAGAGGAAAGUCCGGACAGCACAGAGCAACGUACCGGUGAAGAGCCGGGUCCUGCAUUUUUUGCGGGAACAGAAAGUGCCACAGAAAAUAACCGCCUUGCUGCAAAGCAGGGUAAGGGUGAAAAAGUAGGGUAAGAGCCUACGGGUUAUAGCAGUAAUGUUAUAGCGGGGUAAACCUUUCGUGCUGAAAUGCCACAUAAACCGUCGCUUGAGGGCUGCUCGCCCGAUGACGGAGGGUAGGCAGAUUGAUCCCGAAGGGUAACCUUCGGGACAGAUAAAUGAUAGCUCUCGACAAAAUC